GACAGAGGUGCCAAGCGUUAGGCGGAAUCACUGGGCUUAAAGCGUGUGUAGGCGGACGCGUAAGUGCCUUGUGAAAUCCCACGGCUUAACCGUGGAACUGCUGGGCAUACUGCGUUUCUUGAGCCAGUCAGGGGUCGUCGGAACAAACGGUGGAGCGGUGAAAUGCGUAGAUAUCGUUUGGAACGCCAACGGUGAAAACAGGUUGCUGGGGGUGUGCUGACGCUGAGACACGAAAGCCAGGGGAGCGAACGGG
Molecule: ribosomal RNA, 253 nt
Filed under: uncultured bacterium
Lineage: Bacteria
Description: partial 16S ribosomal RNA
Rfam family: Bacterial small subunit ribosomal RNA
Source: RNAcentral